Manis javanica (Malayan pangolin) is the source of this 129-nucleotide small nucleolar RNA. RefSeq annotates it as small nucleolar RNA SNORA31. NCBI's taxonomy places the organism in Eukaryota, Metazoa, Chordata, Mammalia, Pholidota, Manidae. The record is from RefSeq and is a predicted model, not a curated record.
AGCAUCUAUUUGACAGACCAGGAACAGUUACUGUCUGUUGCUGAGGUUUCCACUACAGAUGCAAGAAAAAGUGCCCUUGUGCUUUCUGUCUUAAUUAUGGCAGCCCAGAUUAAAUGGGGGAAUGCAAAG